RNAcentral lists this ribosomal RNA (229 nucleotides) under uncultured bacterium. RNAcentral's name for it is "partial 16S ribosomal RNA". It matches the Rfam family "Bacterial small subunit ribosomal RNA", at positions 102 to 334 of the family's 1533-position model. The record is from RNAcentral.
ACGGGUGAGUAACGCGUGGGAACAUACCCCUCGGUUCGGAAUAACUCAGGGAAACUUGAGCUAAUACCGGAUACGUCCCAGGUUUUAAUCGACCUUGGAGAAAGAUUUAUCGCCGGAGGAUUGGCCCGCGUCUGAUUAGCUUGUUGGUGAGGUAAUGGCUCACCAAGGCGACGAUCAGUAGCUGGUCUGAGAGGAUGAUCAGCCACAUUGGGACUGAGACACGGCCCAA